Molecule: long non-coding RNA, 2514 nt
Filed under: Androctonus crassicauda
Lineage: Eukaryota; Metazoa; Arthropoda; Arachnida; Scorpiones; Buthidae
Source: RNAcentral
AGUUGAAUUCCAGAUCUUCGAAACGAUUAAACGAAAUUUUCAUUUUUUUUUUUUUUUUGUACAUUAUAACCUUUUGCAAAAGAGCAAAAACACAUGUAGGUGGAUGUUUUUUUUUACUAGUUAAGAGUUUAAUGCCUCCUUGCUGAACACACACGCUAACAGUCUGCCAUAUUGGAAAAGAAAAAUGUUUAUAAAUAACUUGGCACGAACGCACGGCGUGUCUAGUUAUGAUUGCUCCAGUAAACGUCCGUUCAAGGAAGAUGUUUCAAACUCAAUUUUUACGCAGUUUCCACUUCACCCGAGUGCAAAUUACCGAAAAUUUUAAUUGGGUUUCCGGCACAAAUAACACGUGAUCGUUUUAAUUGACUUCCGCGCAUUGGUGCAAUUAGAACGUAUCAAUGUUUUACUUCAUUUCUUCCGUUGGGCCGUGGUUUUAAUUUCAAGGAUAUGGUCUAAAUGCUUCGAACCUAUCCAGUUUUAUAUUAUGACCAUUUUGUGACAUGUCGUCAAUUUUUUUCAUAAAAAAACUAAACUCAUCAGUAAGCAAUUAUGCCAAACUUGGAUCUCCAAACUGAUGCUGAUCUAUAUUAAUAAUGACAAAGAUUUCUUUACAGUCUAAAUCCGAUAUUCUUAAAAACGCAUUUCUGAAUUUCUUUACAAAGAGCAAUUUUGGCGUAACAGGUCGACCUGUUUACUUUUCCUUUCUUCUUCUUUUUCUUUAUUAUUUAUUUAUUUAUUUUUUUCAAUUUUGCUUGGGUGACAUAUUGCCAUAAAAACUUGACCUGUUCCAAUUCUUCUCUGCAAAACAUUUCCUGUUUCGUUUCCUCUAUAUCAGAUUUAAAACAAAAGGAACAAUGUAGUAACAAAAUGUGUCCUCACCCGCCUUUAAGGAACAGCAGGAAACGUAACCGAAUGCACAGUUAAAAUAAAAGAAAAUUAGUUUUCUUUUUUGCGUUUCGAAAAUAACAAGAUGGAGAUAAUUUCUCAGAUUCCUGGAAAUCGACACGGACCAGGAUCUGAGAUGCGGCUACUGGGUACAAUCAAGGUAGUUGUACUCUCAUUUUAUGCGGGACUAUAAAAAUGCUACCAAAUCUGACAGGUUAUCCACGAUAUGACCCAUUGCGGGGUCAAGGCCAUCUUCUAAUCAGUGCCUCUCAACGGACGUGAACCGAAUUAGGAUAUAGAUGGCCGACGUUCACGUGGGAUGCUUUCUAGUUAAUUAUUCUUUAGGUGGCACUCGCAGCCACCUAGAGAGAUGAGUCACGUUUCGCUGCGCCCUGUGUGAUGCAGUCAUUCUAACUUACUACUGACCUAUAUCCGGCACUUCCAAGCCCGUUUUUCUCCCCCCUCCCAUUCGUACUUAGGACCUACAGUCUACCAAACGAAGCAUUUUAGUUAAAACCCCAGAUUACAAUAACCUAAGACGAUCUCCUCUCCAGAGACCAUCCCUUAACCAUAAAAAAAGAGAUAACUACUUUCCGUUUUUAAGGAGAUUUUGAUUAAUUGAUGGCCAUAAAUAAGAGGGAAUGCACCAAUUUCGGGCACAGUACCUCCCAAGUCGAGUGCACAUAACCUGAACGCUUUUAAGCAGCAAUUUUUAGAAUUCUUUUUUUGUUGUCUUCCAUUGAAGAUAUAUGAAUUGGGUCAAAUUCCUCCAAUGUAUUUUGUGUUUUUCUUUCGCAGUUCUAUUGAAUUUGGUGCAUUUUAAUGAACUCGAACAAAAUAAUGGACAAAAUCGCCACUGCCAAGAAAAGAACAUUCCAAUUGUUCCUUCACCUAUUCAUAAAUUUGGACAGCCUUCUUUCGCCGCGUGUAUAUACAUGUGUGUAUAUAUAUUUGUAGCUCCUAAUUAUCUCACGUAAACGUUACCGAAAACCUGUUCCCGUAACAAAAUUGGUGACACUUCCCACAAGAGAUAACCAACCUUGACUUAGAAUAGUAAAAAAGUUUUUUCUUUCUUUCUUUCUCAAAGUAAAAGGACAGUCAAACAGCUGCGACUGGAACAUAAAGAGAAAGAAAAACAUCACCGCUCUAACCUGUUCUAAUUUACUAAUCAGUAAAUUUGUUUAUGGAUAUGUGAUGAAAAUCCUUGAAGUGUUUAGAUCAGAUAAUAUUUUUUUUUUUUUUUAAUUAAUAAGAAACCAGAUAUUUUAAAAGGCUGCUUAACUCUGAGAACGUGUGAAACUCUGUUGCAAAAACAAAAAAAAAAAAAAAUGUCUGUUGUCAUAAAAGUUUCCGUUCAUGUCUACUAAAAUGGGGAUUUGUGUGGCUUUAGUAACAAUAACUUCACUUUCUGUGGAGAAAUUCCUCUCCUUUUAUUUUACUUCUUUAGUAAUAAAACUUGUAAUAGUUGCUUCAUAUUGAUUUAAUUCUUUUUUCGAUUUUUUUUACUUCUUUAGCAAUAAAAAAUACCUCAUGUAAGUUUAAUUCAUCUCUUUCGACGAACAAAAGCAUUCACAUUUUGACUUCUAUAGUAAUAAAACCAGAGGUUCUUCGUGUCUGUUUGCCUGUGAC